This 253-nucleotide ribosomal RNA is filed under the name uncultured bacterium. RNAcentral's name for it is "partial 16S ribosomal RNA". It matches the Rfam family "Bacterial small subunit ribosomal RNA", at positions 524 to 776 of the family's 1533-position model. The record is from RNAcentral.
UACGAAGGGGGCUAGCGUUGCUCGGAAUCACUGGGCGUAAAGGGUGCGUAGGCGGGCCUUUAAGUCAGGGGUGAAAUCCUGGAGCUCAACUCCAGAACUGCCUUUGAUACUGAAGAUCUUGAGUUCGGGAGAGGUGAGUGGAACUGCGAGUGUAGAGGUGAAAUUCGUAGAUAUUCGCAAGAACACCAGUGGCGAAGGCGGCUCACUGGUCCGAUACUGACGCUGAGGCACGAAAGCGUGGGGAGCAAACAGG